This 75-nucleotide transfer RNA is filed under the name Candidatus Saccharimonadota bacterium. RNAcentral's name for it is "tRNA-Glu". It matches the Rfam family "tRNA". Rfam says of the family: Transfer RNA (tRNA) molecules are approximately 80 nucleotides in length. Lineage: Bacteria; Candidatus Saccharimonadota. The record is from RNAcentral.
GGCCUCAUAGUAUAAUGGUUAGUACAACGGGUUUUCAUCCCGUCAAUGUGGGUUCAAUUCCCGCUGAGGUCACCA